AACGUGAAGGAUAACGUUGCGUCAGCAACGGCCCGAAGGGCGAGGCGAAGUCGAGUCAUCCUGCACGACCCACCA
This 75-nucleotide small RNA is filed under the name Klebsiella pneumoniae. RNAcentral describes it as "partial RtT sRNA". It matches the Rfam family "RtT RNA", at positions 51 to 130 of the family's 130-position model. From Rfam's summary of the family: This family represents a bacterial cis-regulatory element known as RtT RNA. The exact function of RtT is unknown although it is thought that it may be involved in changing the cellular response in relation to amino acid starvation. The record is from RNAcentral. Lineage: Bacteria; Pseudomonadati; Pseudomonadota; Gammaproteobacteria; Enterobacterales; Enterobacteriaceae.